This 808-nucleotide long non-coding RNA is filed under the name Solanum tuberosum (potato). RNAcentral's name for it is "long non-coding RNA (STUB_LNC000357)". Lineage: Eukaryota; Viridiplantae; Streptophyta; Magnoliopsida; Solanales; Solanaceae. The record is from RNAcentral.
UUUAUUAUGUAUUUAUUUUCGCCAUUUUGACUAUAAAAUUAGGUUGUGUCUGUUGUUGUUGUUGUUGUUAUUAUUAUUAUUAUUAUUCUUAUUAUUAUUAUUAUUUCUCUAUUAUUUGUUAGGUCAUUACUUAUUAUUUUGUUGUUAACAGUUAUGUUGUUAGUCAUUAUUGUUUGGUUAGUUUAUUUCCUCAUUCAUCUUGUUAUGUUAAUUAUUGCAUAUCACCUUAUACGGUUUUUAUCAAUUUCAUAUAAUUGUUGCUAUAGUUGAUUUGUCCAUUUUUCUUAUUAGUUUGUUAAUUUAUUCAAUAGUUAAAAAUGGCCAAUGAGAAAAUCUCUCCGUCGAUUUUAAAGGCCUUUACAUUGUAAAAGACGGAAUUUUAGUUUAAGUUUAUGCAUUUUAUUUGUUAAAAAUGACCAAUGAAAAAAUCUCUCCGUCGAUUUUAGAGGUCUUCCCAUUUUAAAAGACGGAAUUUUAGUUUAAGUUUAUGCAUUUUAUUUGUUAAAAAUGACCAAUGAAAAAAUCUCUCCGUCGAUUUUGGAGGCCUCCACAUUCCAAAAGACGAAAAUUUAGUUUAAGUUUAUAUGUACUGUUUGUUAAAAUUGGACGAUGAAGAAAUUACCGUCGAUUUCUAAGGCCUCCCAUGUUAAUAAGACGGAUGUUUAUUUUUAAGUUAUUGUCUAAUUCAUUUACUUUUAGUCAUAUUUAUUUAGUACUAACACUUUUACUAAGUGUCUUUACAGGUUCCCCGAAGUCGCUUCUCAUCGAAGUCAUUCGAAUAAAGUUCGAAUGUUAUAUUCAUUAUNNN